AUUGAACGCUGGCGGCAUGCCUUACACAUGCAAGUCGAACGGCGGCACGGGUGCUUGCACCUGGUGGCGAGUGGCGAACGGGUGAGUAAUACAUCGGAGCAUGUCCUGUAGUGGGGGAUAGCCCGGCGAAAGCCGGAUUAAUACCGCAUACGAUCUACGGAUGAAAGCGGGGGACCUUCGGGCCUCGCGCUAUAGGGUUGGCCGAUGGCUGAUUAGCUAGUUGGUGGGGUAAAGGCCUACCAAGGCGACGAUCAGUAGCUGGUCUGAGAGGACGACCAGCCACACUGGGACUGAGACACGGCCCAGACUCCUACGGGAGGCAGCAGUGGGGAAUUUUGGACAAUGGGCGAAAGCCUGAUCCAGCAAUGCCGCGUGUGUGAAGAAGGCCUUCGGGUUGUAAAGCACUUUUGUCCGGAAAGAAAUCCUUGGCCCUAAUACGGUCGGGGGAUGACGGUACCGGAAGAAUAAGCACCGGCUAACUACGUG
This 486-nucleotide ribosomal RNA is filed under the name uncultured bacterium. Its description in RNAcentral is "partial 16S ribosomal RNA". It matches the Rfam family "Bacterial small subunit ribosomal RNA", at positions 30 to 507 of the family's 1533-position model. The record is from RNAcentral.